CAGCCGCCGCGGUAAAACCAGCACCUCAAGUGGUCAGGAUGAUUAUUGGGCCUAAAGCAUCCGUAGCCGGCUCUGUAAGUUUUCGGUUAAAUCUGUACGCUCAACGUACAGGCUGCCGGGAAUACUGCAAAGCUAGGGAGUGGGAGAAGUAGACGGUACUCGGUAGGAAGUGGUAAAAUGCUUUGAUCUAUCGAUGACCACCUGUGGCGAAGGCGGUCUACUAGAACACGUCCGACGGUGAGGGAUGAAAGCUGGGGGAGCAAACCGGAUUAGAUACCCGGGUAGUCCCAGCUGUAAACUAUGCAAACUCAGUGAUGCAUUGGCUUGUGGCCAAUGCAGUGCUGCAGGGAAGCCGUUAAGUUUGCCGCCUGGGAAGUACGUACGCAAGUAUGAAACUUAAAGGAAUUGGCGGGGGAGCAC
Molecule: ribosomal RNA, 420 nt
Filed under: uncultured archaeon
Lineage: Archaea
Also listed under: 1 other name
Description: bacterial SSU rRNA
Rfam family: Archaeal small subunit ribosomal RNA
Source: RNAcentral